CCCGCACAAGCAGUGGAGUAUGUGGUUAAUUCGAAGCAACGCGAAGAACCUUACCAGGGCUUGACAUCCCUUGAAGCAGCUAGAGAUAGCUGUGUCCUUCGGGACAAGGAGACAGGUGGUGCAUGGUUGUCAUCAGCUCGUGUCGUGAGAUGUUGGGUUAAGUCCCGCAACGAGCGCAACCCCUGUGGUUAGUUGCCAGCAAGUAGCGUUGGGCACUCUAGCCAGACUGCCGGUGAUAAAUCGGAGGAAGGUGGGGACGACGUCAAAUCAUCAUGCCCUUUAUGUCCUGGGCUACACACGUACUACAAUGGCCGUUACAACGGGAAGCGAAGGAGCAAUCCGGAGCAAAUCCCUUAAAGGCGGUCCCAGUUCAGAUUGUGGGCUGAAACUCGCCCACAUGAAGGCGGAAUCGCUAGUAAUCGCAGGUCAGCAUACUGCGGUGAAUACGUUCCCGGGCCUU
Molecule: ribosomal RNA, 460 nt
Filed under: uncultured Oscillospiraceae bacterium
Lineage: Bacteria; Bacillati; Bacillota; Clostridia; Eubacteriales; Oscillospiraceae
Description: bacterial SSU rRNA
Rfam family: Bacterial small subunit ribosomal RNA
Source: RNAcentral